Long non-coding RNA from Bombus pyrosoma, 750 nucleotides. RefSeq lists it as uncharacterized. The transcript has 3 exons. The record is from RefSeq and is a predicted model, not a curated record. NCBI's taxonomy places the organism in Eukaryota, Metazoa, Arthropoda, Insecta, Hymenoptera, Apidae.
GGUAUAGAGUAGUUGUAUAAUGUUGUUCUCCUUAAAAAUAUAGUUGACCCAAAGGGUACAGAGAGGUACAGAGAAGAGUACAUAAGUGCAGCGCCACUUGGACUGAGGACCAGUAUACUGAGUUCUACUUGUACUGUGGACAAAUAAACACCACGACAUUUCACAGAUUUGGUUUCACGUUUGUACAAAGGUGCACUGUUGUACAAAACACGUUUGCGAAAGAAAGACACAUUUUGGACGACCUAAUAUUUCUUUAAUGAGGUUUAGCAAGAUACAACAGAAAACGAAGAAGCUAGAGUACAUUUUGUAUGUUUUGAAAAGAAUGAGAAAAAUUGGCAAGGCCUUUUUUAUUUAUAAAUCCAGCAAUUACUUGAAACUAUCCAAAGGGAAAGCCCAGACGUAAAUAAAACUCGCGAUCAUGGUUUCUGUUGCGGUUUUCACCAACGAUAUUUACGAUCCUGUGGAGAAAUAGAGUAUCAGAACGAAAUGCAAACAAAAGAGGGUGAAACGAAUCCUCGAGCUACCUGCGGUGAAAACUGACCCGGCAUCGAGGUUUGCCUUCAUACAAAUUACUCUCUAAAGUAACUGCUACUAAUUUUUCAUUCAUACACUUUCUAACUGUUUGAAAUCGAUCCAUUUGUUGAAUCCACAUACAAUAUGAAUUCUGAAAUAUAUCUGUUCUUGUUUAUAGUAAAUAAAAUUUCAUUUUUAUGAACUCAUUAGGGAACAGAGACUUUAUAUAUUGUAACU